UACGUAGGGUGCAAGCGUUGUCCGGAAUUACUGGGCGUAAAGCGCACGUAGGCGGAUAGUUAAGUCGGGGGUGAAAUCCCGGGGCUCAACCCCGGAACUGCCUUCGAUACUGGAAGUCUUGAGUAUGGAAGAGGUAAGUGGAAUUGCGAGUGUAGAGGUGAAAUUCGUAGAUAUUCGCAGGAACACCAGUGGCGAAGGCGGCUUACUGGUCCAUUACUGACGCUGAGGUGCGAAAGCGUGGGGAGCAAACAGG
RNAcentral lists this ribosomal RNA (253 nucleotides) under uncultured bacterium. RNAcentral describes it as "partial 16S ribosomal RNA". It matches the Rfam family "Bacterial small subunit ribosomal RNA", at positions 524 to 776 of the family's 1533-position model. The record is from RNAcentral.